GAUGAACGCUGGCGGCGUGCCUAAUACAUGCAAGUCGAGCGAACAGAUGAGGAGCUUGCUCCACUGACGUUAGCGGCGGACGGGUGAGUAACACGUGGAUAACCUACCUAUAAGACUGGGAUAACUUCGGGAAACCGGAGCUAAUACCGGAUAAUAUAUUGAACCGCAUGGUUCAAUAGUGAAAGACGGUUUUGCUUUCACUUAUAGAUGGAUCCGCGCCGCAUUAGCUAGUUGGUAAGGUAACGGCUUACCAAGGCAACGAUGCGUAGCCGACCUGAGAGGGUGAUCGGCCACACUGGAACUGAGACACGGUCCAGACUCCUACGGGAGGCAGCAGUAGGGAAUCUUCCGCAAUGGGCGAAAGCCUGACGGAGCAACGCCGCGUGAUUGAUGAAGGUCUUCGGAUCGUAAAACUCUGUUAUUAGGGAAGAACAAAUGUGUAAGUAACUAUGCACGUCUUGACGGUACCUAAUCAGAAAGCCACGGCUAACUACGUG
Molecule: ribosomal RNA, 497 nt
Filed under: uncultured bacterium
Lineage: Bacteria
Description: partial 16S ribosomal RNA
Rfam family: Bacterial small subunit ribosomal RNA
Source: RNAcentral